CCGUUGCCGGCGACCGGCGCACGGGUGAGUAACACGUAUGCAACCUGCCCGUGGCAGGGGGAUAAGCGGGGAAACCCCGUCUAAUACCGCGUAACGCGGCCUUGGGGCAUCCCAAGGCCGCCAAAGGGAGCAAUCCCGGCCACGGAUGGGCAUGCGGCGCAUUAGCUAGUCGGCGGGGUAACGGCCCACCGAGGCGACGAUGCGUAGGGGUUCUGAGAGGAAGGCCCCCCACACUGGUACUGAGACACGGACCAGACUCCUACGGAAGGCAGCAG
RNAcentral lists this ribosomal RNA (275 nucleotides) under uncultured bacterium. Its description in RNAcentral is "partial 16S ribosomal RNA". It matches the Rfam family "Bacterial small subunit ribosomal RNA", at positions 82 to 354 of the family's 1533-position model. The record is from RNAcentral.